CCCUUAGACGUUCUGGGCCGCACGCGCGCUACACUGACCAGUGCAACAAGCAUCCGUCCUUGGCCGACAGGCCCGGGCAAUCUUUGAACGCUGGUCGUGAUGGGGAUAGACUUUUGCAAUUUUUGGUCCUCAACGAGGAAUUCCUAGUAAACGCAAGUCAUCAACUUGCAUUGAUUACGUCCCUGCCCUUUGUACACACCGCCCGUCGCACCUACCGAUUGAAUGGUCCGGUGAAGCCUCCGGAUUGGCGCGCACCUCGGUGCCGCCGAGAAGUUGGCUAAACCUUACCAUUUAGAGGAAGGUGAAGUCGUANCA
Molecule: ribosomal RNA, 315 nt
Filed under: uncultured eukaryote
Lineage: Eukaryota
Description: partial 18S ribosomal RNA
Rfam family: Eukaryotic small subunit ribosomal RNA
Source: RNAcentral